UCCCUGCAUCUCUGCACUCUGUUCCCGAUUCCACUUGAAAACCUUCAUCCAGGCAAUCAGGCCACACGCUUUGACAACUCUGAUUACUUAUCAUGGAGAACAAGAAGCCAGGAAGAGUAGAGGAGCCCCUUCUCGUGGCGGCGCGGCCCGAGAACGCGGCCGCGGCGGAGGCCAAGCGGCUGCUGCGGCUGGCGGGGCCCCUGGUGGCCAGCUGCAUCCUGCAGAGCGCCGUCCAGCUGGUGUCCGUCAUGUUCGUCGGCCACCUCGGCGAGCUGCCCCUCGCCGGCGCCUCCCUGGCCAGCUCCCUCGCCAACGUCACCGGCUUCAGCCUGCUGUUCGGCAUGGCGAGCGCGCUGGACACGCUGUGCGGGCAGGCUUUCGGGGCGGGGCGGCACGGCACGGCCUCCUCGGCGUGCACAAGCAGCGCGCCACGGUGGUGCUCGCGCUCGCCUGCGUCCCGGUCGCCGCCGUCUGGGCCAACGCCGGACGGAUCCUCGUCCUCGCCGGCCAGGACCGGGACAUCGCCGAGGAGGCCGGCGCCUACGCGCGGUGGCUCAUCCCGUGCCUCGUCCCCUACGUCCCGCUCGUGUGCCACAUCCGGUUCCUGCAGGCGCAGAGCCUCGUCGUGCCGGUGAUGGCCAGCUCCGGCGCCGCCGCGCUGGGCCACGUCGCGGUGUGCUGGGCGCUGGUGUUCAAGGCCGGCAUGGGGAGCAGAGGCGCCGCGCUGAGCAACGCCAUCUCCUACGGCGUCAACCUGGCCCUGCUCACUCUCUACGUCAGGCUGUCGGGCGCGUGCGCGAGGACAUGGACGGGAUUCUCCACCGAGGCUUUCAAAGAGCUGCGCCGGUUCACUCAGCUCGCCAUCCCAUCGGCGAUGAUGGUCUGCUUGGAGUGGUGGUCAUUUGAACUACUCGUGUUGCUCUCUGGCCUCCUGCCCAAUCCUACGCUUGAAACUUCAGUAUUGUCGAUAUGUCUCAACACUGGCUCGUUGCUGUUUAUGAUACCAUUUGGUCUCUCUACAGCCAUAAGCACACGAGUUUCGAAUGAACUUGGCGCCGAUCAGCCCCAGGCAGCGAAGCUGGCAACUCGAGUGGUGAUGUGUAUUGCCAUGUCUGCCGGCUUGGUUCUAGCCUCUACCAUGAUUCUGCUACGCAAUUUCUGGGGCUAUCUGUACAGCAAUGAACCUGAAGUCAUCACAUACAUUGCAAAAAUGAUACCUGUUCUCGCGAUAUCAUUCUUCACGGAUGGGCUUCACAGUUCUCUAUCCGGAGUACUGACUGGAUGCGGUGAGCAGAAGGUCGGCGCUCGUGUUAAUCUCGGUGCAUUCUACUUGGCCGGCGUUCCCAUGGCCGUUUUGCUUGCAUUUGUUCUCCAUCUUAACGGAAUGGGUCUUUGGCUUGGUAUUGUCUGUGGCAGCCUCACCAAGCUUGUGUUGCUCAUGUGGAUCACACUGCGGAUAAACUGGGAGAAAGAGGCAAUGAAGGCAAAAGAAACGGUAUUCAGUUCAUCUCUUCCCAUAGCAUGAUGGUGUUAUGUGUAACUGGAAAAGUAACACUGCAACAGCUGCACACAAUCAUACCACUGCGCUCAAGGAAAUUGACAGACAUUUGGGAUUAUUUUGUCUAAGUUAGCAUAUAAUCAUUUUUCUUCAAUAUCCUCCCCACCAGGAUAUGAUUUGUACUGCCUUUGUUUAUCAAAGAGCUUUCAUUCAUUACACUAUAACCUAUAAAUAGAUAUUAAAUUUGAUGCCUUUAUUUA
Panicum virgatum (switchgrass) is the source of this 1758-nucleotide RNA transcript. It is a transcript of the gene named protein DETOXIFICATION 16-like, with no coding region annotated. NCBI's taxonomy places the organism in Eukaryota, Viridiplantae, Streptophyta, Magnoliopsida, Poales, Poaceae. The record is from RefSeq and is a predicted model, not a curated record. The transcript has 7 exons.